This 74-nucleotide transfer RNA is filed under the name Alkalitalea saponilacus. Its description in RNAcentral is "Bacteroidales bacterium SC/BZ-SP2 tRNA". It matches the Rfam family "tRNA". From Rfam's summary of the family: Transfer RNA (tRNA) molecules are approximately 80 nucleotides in length. Their secondary structure includes four short double-helical elements and three loops (D, anti-codon, and T loops). Further hydrogen bonds mediate the characteristic L-shaped molecular structure. tRNAs have two regions of fundamental functional importance: the anti-codon, which is responsible for specific mRNA codon recognition, and the 3' end, to which the tRNAs corresponding amino acid is attached (by aminoacyl-tRNA synthetases). tRNAs cope with the degeneracy of the genetic code in two manners: having more than one tRNA (with a specific anti-codon) for a particular amino acid; and 'wobble' base-pairing, i.e. permitting non-standard base-pairing at the 3rd anti-codon position. The record is from Rfam by way of RNAcentral. Lineage: Bacteria; Pseudomonadati; Bacteroidota; Bacteroidia; Marinilabiliales; Marinilabiliaceae.
CGGGGUGUAGCGCAGUCCGGUAGCGCGCCACGUUCGGGACGUGGAGGCCGUGGGUUCGAAUCCCGCUACCCCGA